ACUCCUACGGGAGGCAGCAGUGGGGAAUAUUGCACAAUGGGCGCAAGCCUGAUGCAGCCAUGCCGCGUGUGUGAAGAAGGCCUUCGGGUUGUAAAGCACUUUCAGUCGUGAGGAAGGUAGUGUAGUUAAUAGCUGCAUUAUUUGACGUUAGCGACAGAAGAAGCACCGGCUAACUCCGUGCCAGCAGCCGCGGUAAUACGGAGGGUGCGAGCGUUAAUCGGAAUUACUGGGCGUAAAGCGCAUGCAGGUGGUUCGUUAAGUCAGAUGUGAAAGCCCGGGGCUCAACCUCGGAAUUGCAUUUGAAACUGGCGGACUAGAGUACUGUAGAGGGGGGUAGAAUUUCAGGUGUAGCGGUGAAAUGCGUAGAGAUCUGAAGGAAUACCGGUGGCGAAGGCGGCCCCCUGGACAGAUACUGACACUCAGAUGCGAAAGCGUGGGGAGCAAACAGGAUUAGAUACCCUGGUAGGAUAGCG
This 473-nucleotide ribosomal RNA is filed under the name uncultured bacterium. RNAcentral's name for it is "bacterial SSU rRNA". It matches the Rfam family "Bacterial small subunit ribosomal RNA", at positions 335 to 799 of the family's 1533-position model. The record is from RNAcentral.